GGAGAUGUAGCUCAGUAGUACAGCACUUACCUAGCAUGUGCAAGGCCUUGGGUUCAAGUCCCUGCACCACCA
This 72-nucleotide transfer RNA is filed under the name Ictidomys tridecemlineatus (thirteen-lined ground squirrel). RNAcentral describes it as "Spermophilus tridecemlineatus (thirteen-lined ground squirrel) tRNA". It matches the Rfam family "tRNA". From Rfam's summary of the family: Transfer RNA (tRNA) molecules are approximately 80 nucleotides in length. Lineage: Eukaryota; Metazoa; Chordata; Mammalia; Rodentia; Sciuridae. The record is from Rfam by way of RNAcentral.